Molecule: ribosomal RNA, 254 nt
Filed under: uncultured bacterium
Lineage: Bacteria
Also listed under: 1 other name
Description: partial 16S ribosomal RNA
Rfam family: Bacterial small subunit ribosomal RNA
Source: RNAcentral
CACGUAGGCACCAAGCGUUGUCCGGAUUUAUUGGGCGUAAAGAGCUCGUAGGCGGUUCAGUAAGUCGGGUGUGAAAACUCAGGGCUCAACCCUGAGCUGCCACCCGAUACUGCUGUGACUUGAGUCUGGUAGGGGAGUGGGGAAUUCCUGGUGUAGCGGUGAAAUGCGCAGAUAUCAGGAGGAACACCGGUGGCGAAGGCGCCACUCUGGGCCACGACUGACGCUGAGGAGCGAAAGCAUGGGUAGCAAACAGG